AUUGAACGCUGGCGGCAGGCUUAACACAUGCAAGUCGAGCGGGGUGAUGGUGCUUGCACUAUCACUUAGCGGCGGACGGGUGAGUAAUGCUUAGGAAUCUGCCUAUUAGUGGGGGACAACAUCUCGAAAGGGAUGCUAAUACCGCAUACGUCCUACGAGAGAAAGCAGGGGAUCACUUGUGACCUUGCGCUAAUAGAUGAGCCUAAGUCGGAUUAGCUAGUUGGUGGGGUAAAGGCCUACGAAGGCGACGAUCUGUAGCGGGUCUGAGAGGAUGAUCCGCCACACUGGGACUGAGACACGGCCCAGACUCCUACGGGAGGCAGCAGUGGGGAAUAUUGGACAAUGGGGGGAACCCUGAUCCAGCCAUGCCGCGUGUGUGAAGAAGGCCUUAUGGUUGUAAAGCACUUUAAGCGAGGAGGAGGCUCUUUUGGUUAAUACCCAAGAUGAGUGGACGUUACUCGCAGAAUAAGCACCGGCUAACUCUGUGCCAGCCGCCGCUGUAA
RNAcentral lists this ribosomal RNA (503 nucleotides) under uncultured bacterium. RNAcentral describes it as "partial 16S ribosomal RNA". It matches the Rfam family "Bacterial small subunit ribosomal RNA", at positions 30 to 523 of the family's 1533-position model. The record is from RNAcentral.